Molecule: small nucleolar RNA, 150 nt
Organism: Ipomoea triloba (trilobed morning glory)
Lineage: Eukaryota; Viridiplantae; Streptophyta; Magnoliopsida; Solanales; Convolvulaceae
Product: small nucleolar RNA snoR134
Exons: 1
Source: RefSeq, a predicted model, not a curated record
CUGCACGUAGUCUCCCGGGCAAUUCCGAGAUACAGUAUGAAGAAAGAGCCCUAUACUCGUGCCAAAAAGACGUCGCUGUCUGUGUUGCAGUCUAGCCAUUGUACCACUUUUUAUCCAUAGCUACUCUGUGUCAAUUCGACGGCUACAUUU